AUGACGACCACCGACAUCGGGCCCACGUGCCAGCCAGUGGAAGCGUCCUUUUUUAACCACGCGUGCAGCGGGGUCGGCCUCAUCCACUUCUCCCGUCCACAUCUGCCCCCCCCACCACUCCCUUUGCUUCUUCGUCGGCGACCGCAAACCCUAGCCAUGGGCCUCUUCGGCAGCAGCAAUGGCAAGGGCAAGGGCACCCCCGGCGCCUCGUCCUCCCGUGCUCCCCUUCCCCCUCGUCCUCCUCCGGCGGCGACGCGUUUCCGCCCUGGCCGCCGGCGCCUGCACAUCCCGAUGCACCAAGCGCGGUGGCACUGGGAGUACAGGUGGCCAUUGCCGUACCCCGAUGUCACGCUGCCGCAUCGUUGGCAUCUGGAUCCGCAGCGGAUCCCGGUGCCGGCGGUUCCUCGUACCCAGCGGGCGCACGACGACGAGGUGCGCAGGCGCCGCGCGCAGCUCAUGCCGGAGCAGCGUCGGCUGCCAGAGUACGCCGCCGACUCCCCCAACUGGGAGGCUUGGUUCGCCCUCGAACACGAGGAGCAACGGCGCUCGGGUGUCGACGCCGUCCCGCCGCCGUUUCCAUCGCCGGCCCCGUAG
This 594-nucleotide ribosomal RNA is filed under the name Triticum aestivum (bread wheat). Its description in RNAcentral is "partial small subunit ribosomal RNA". Lineage: Eukaryota; Viridiplantae; Streptophyta; Magnoliopsida; Poales; Poaceae. The record is from RNAcentral.